This 274-nucleotide ribosomal RNA is filed under the name uncultured bacterium. Its description in RNAcentral is "partial 16S ribosomal RNA". It matches the Rfam family "Bacterial small subunit ribosomal RNA", at positions 523 to 796 of the family's 1533-position model. The record is from RNAcentral.
AUACGGAGGGGGCUAGCGUUGUUCGGAAUUACUGGGCGUAAAGCGCGCGUAGGCGGCUUAUCAAGUUAGGCGUGAAAGGCCUGGGCUCAACCCGGGAACUGCGCUUAAUACUGGUAGACUUGAGUCCGUGAGAGGGUGGCGGAAUUCCCAGUGUAGAGGUGAAAUUCGUAGAUAUUGGGAAGAACACCAGUGGCGAAGGCGGCCACCUGGCCCGGUACUGACGCUGAGGUGCGAAAGCGUGGGGAGCAAACAGUAUUAGAUACCCGUGUAGUCC